Molecule: long non-coding RNA, 445 nt
Organism: Cebus imitator (Panamanian white-faced capuchin)
Lineage: Eukaryota; Metazoa; Chordata; Mammalia; Primates; Cebidae
Exons: 3
Source: RefSeq, a predicted model, not a curated record
CUGGAGCUGAGGGUGGAGGCAGCAAGGAGGUGGGUGAGGAGGAAGCCCAAGUAUUUCAUGUUUCUUAUAAUCAGUUUCUUUCAGGGACUUCUUCAGGGACUGCCUGAUCCCUUCACAAUGCUCCUCUUCCUGAUCAAGGAAAAGACAUGUGAUUUUGCAGUCUCCUUUAGCUCUCCUUCAUGGAAAUGAUUCUCUUGACACUGAAACUAAAACAUCGUCUAGGCAUGGCUGAAAAGGAUGUGUGCCAACAUAGGAGACGUCUUGGCUAAGAAAGUGGAGAAGUGACAUGUGCAGACAAGAUGCCAUGGAAGAGAAAGGCAAACACAGACAGAGGCUCCUCCUUGAAAGAAGCUUCAGCACACGUGGAGAACCCUUGAUCUAUCACGUGCCUGUAGGCUGCAGUGAGAUUCUGCUGAUGUCUUGGGAAACCCACCUUUUCGAGAGA